This 465-nucleotide ribosomal RNA is filed under the name uncultured bacterium. RNAcentral's name for it is "partial 16S ribosomal RNA". It matches the Rfam family "Bacterial small subunit ribosomal RNA", at positions 28 to 507 of the family's 1533-position model. The record is from RNAcentral.
GGCGAACGCUGGCGGCGUGCUUAACACAUGCAAGUCGAACGGAAAGGCCCCUUUGGGGGUACUCGAGUGGCGAACGGGUGAGUAACACGUGAGUAACCUGCCCUUGACUUCGGGAUAACUUCAGGAAACUGGGGCUAAUACCGGAUAGGAAUCCUUGCUGCAUGGUGGGGGUUGGAAAGCUUCGGCGGUUUUGGAUGGACUCGCGGCUUAUCAGCUUGUUGGUGGGGUAGUGGCUUACCAAGGCUUUGACGGGUAGCCGGCCUGAGAGGGCGACCGGCCACAUUGGGACUGAGAUACGGCCCAGACUCCUACGGGAGGCAGCAGUGGGGAAUAUUGCACAAUGGGCGGAAGCCUGAUGCAGCAACGCCGCGUGCGGGAUGACGGCCUUCGGGUUGUAAACCGCUUUCAGCAGGGGCGAAGCUUGUGGUGACGGUACCUGCAGAAGAAGCACCGGCUAACUACGUG